UACAGAGGGUGCGAGCGUUGUUCGGAAUUACUGGGCGUAAAGCGCGCGCAGGCGGCCUUUUAAGUCUGGCGGUGAAAUGCCGGGGCUCAACCCCGAGCGUGCCGCGGAUACUGGGAGGCUGGAGACGAGUAGAGGCAAGCGGAAUUCCGGGUGUAGCGGUGGAAUGCGUAGAGAAUCCGGAAGAACACCAGUGGCGAAGGCGGCUUCCUGGCCUGUUCUUGACGCUGAGGCGCGAAAGGCUAGGGGAGCAAACGGG
This 256-nucleotide ribosomal RNA is filed under the name uncultured bacterium. Its description in RNAcentral is "partial 16S ribosomal RNA". It matches the Rfam family "Bacterial small subunit ribosomal RNA", at positions 524 to 776 of the family's 1533-position model. The record is from RNAcentral.